Molecule: ribosomal RNA, 292 nt
Filed under: uncultured bacterium
Lineage: Bacteria
Description: partial 16S ribosomal RNA
Rfam family: Bacterial small subunit ribosomal RNA
Source: RNAcentral
GUGUCAGCAGCCGCGGUAAUACGGAGGGAGCUAGCGUUGUUCGGAUAUACUGGGCGUAAAGCGCACGUAGGCGGCGCGGUAAGUCAGGGGUGAAAUCCCGGAGCUCAACUCCGGAACUGCCUUUGAAACUGCUGCACUAGAAUCCUGGAGAGGCGAGUGGAAUUCCGAGUGUAGAGGUGAAAUUCGUAGAUAUUCGGAAGAACACCAGUGGCGAAGGCGACUCGCUGGACAGGUAUUGACGCUGAGGUGCGAAAGCGUGGGGAGCAAACAGGAUUAGAUACCCUCGUAGUCC